UAAAACGGAAAAACUUGGCACUGUACGGUACAGUUUUCGACGAUUUUGGUCGUUUACUUUUUUCAGUACGACAAUAGACAAUGCUACUGUUGUCGACUCGUAUAAUUUAGCCUAAUUUACGACUUACGCAAUGGGGCUGAAUAUAAUGCAAACUUUGUACAAAAAU
Molecule: long non-coding RNA, 166 nt
Organism: Rhagoletis zephyria (snowberry fruit fly)
Lineage: Eukaryota; Metazoa; Arthropoda; Insecta; Diptera; Tephritidae
Source: RefSeq, a predicted model, not a curated record